CAAACUCAUCAAAAUUAUUCGAAGAAUAUUUAAAUGGAGGUUGAGAGAAAGUUUGUCGUGGGAAUUUUUCCUUGCUACUUUUCCUUUGAAGACCAAACAUCAUAACCUGAAAAUCUCAACACAAAAGUUAGAAAAUAAAACCUCACACUCUCAAGUGUUUAAUCUCACCCACUCAAGUGUGUCUCUCAGAUUUUAUGGUAAUCAC
RNAcentral lists this long non-coding RNA (205 nucleotides) under Brassica napus (rape). RNAcentral describes it as "long non-coding RNA (BNAP_LNC001757)". The record is from RNAcentral. Lineage: Eukaryota; Viridiplantae; Streptophyta; Magnoliopsida; Brassicales; Brassicaceae.